Molecule: long non-coding RNA, 1346 nt
Organism: Symphalangus syndactylus (siamang)
Lineage: Eukaryota; Metazoa; Chordata; Mammalia; Primates; Hylobatidae
Source: RefSeq, a predicted model, not a curated record
CCUCGCUCGCAGGGAGGUGUGGAAGGAGAGGCGUGAGCGGGAACCAGGGCUGCGUGCGGUGCUUGCGGGCCAGCUGGAGUUCUGGGUGGGCGUGGGCUUGGCGGGCCCCGCACUUGGAGCACCGGGGCCCUGCCGGCCCCGGGCAAUGAGGGACUUAGCACCCGGGCCAGCGGCUACAGGGGGUGUACUGGGUCCCCCAGCAGUGCCAGCCCACCGGCGCUGGGCUCGAUUUCUCACCAGGCCUUAGCUGCCUUCCCACGGGGCAGGGCUCGGGACCUGCAGCCGGCCAUGCCUGAGCCUCCCACCCCGUCCAUGGGCUCCUGUACGGCCCGAGCCUUCCCGACGAGCACCACCCCCUGCUCCACGGCGCCCAGUCCCAACGACCACCCAAGGGCUGAGGAGUGCGAGUGCACGGCGUGGGACUGGCAGGCAGCUCCACCUGCAGCCCUGGUGCAGGAUCCACUGGGUGAAGCCAGCUGGGCUCCUGAGUCUGGUGGAGAUGUGGAGAACCUUUAUGUCUAGCUCAGGGUCUGUGAGUGCACCAAUCGACACUCUGUAUCUAGCUCAAGGUUUGUAAACACACCAAUCAGCACCCUGUGUCUAGCUCGAGGUUUGUGAAUGCACCAAUUGACACUCUGUAUCUAGCUGCUCUGGUGGGGUCUUGGAGAACCUUUAUGUCUAGCUCAAGGGUUGUAAAUACACCAAUCAGCACCCUGUGUCUAGCUCAGGGUCUGUGAAUGCACCAAUCAACACUCUGUAUCUAGCUGCUCUGGUGGGGCCUUGGGAAACCUUUGUGUCCAUACUCUGUAUCUAACUGAUCUGAUGGGGACGUGGAGAACCUUUAUGUCUAGCUCAGGGAUGGUAAACGCACCAAUCAGCACCCUGUCAAAACAGACCACUCCGCUUUACCAAUCAGCAGGACGUGGGUGGGGCCAGAUAAGAGAAUAAAAGCAGGCUGCCCCAGCCAGCAGCGCCGACCCGGUCUGGUCGCCUUCCAUGCUGUGGAAGCUUUGUUCUUUCGCUGUUUGCAAUAACUCUUGCUACUGCUCACUCUUUGGGUCCACACUGCUUUUAUGAGCUGUAACACUCACCGCGAAGGUCUGCAGCUUCACUCCUGAAACCAGCGAGACCACGAGCUCACCGGGAGGAACGAACAACUCCAGACGCGCCGCCUUAAGACCUGUAACACUCACCGCGAGGGUCCACGGCUUCAUUCUUUAAGUCAGUGAGACCAAGAACCCACCGAUUCCGGACACACCAGCAAAACCAGCCAUGAAGCAGAUAUGGGAGGAUAGGGAGAAGAUGUGCCUCGCUAUUGAAGAUCCAAUGCUCCAGUGGAAGAAGAU